GGAGCGAGCGUUAUCCGGAAUUAUUGGGUGUAAAGGGUGCGUAGACGGGAAAGCAAGUUAGUUGUGAAAUCCCUCGGCUUAACUGAGGAACUGCAACUAAAACUGAAUUUCUUGAGUGCGGGAGAGGAAAGUGGAAUUCCUAGUGUAGCGGUGAAAUGCGUAGAUAUUAGGAGGAACACCAGUGGCGAAGGCGACUUUCUGGACCGUAACUGACGUUGAGGCACGAAAGUGUGGGGAGCAAAC
Molecule: ribosomal RNA, 243 nt
Filed under: uncultured bacterium
Lineage: Bacteria
Description: partial 16S ribosomal RNA
Rfam family: Bacterial small subunit ribosomal RNA
Source: RNAcentral